AAGAUCCAAAUGCAGAACAUACUGAUUUCUUGGAUGAUACACAGCUUGCAAAGUCCUCAUCAUCCUAAGACUAUCACCUUUCGUCCCCGAGAUCAAAUAAGCUAACCUAGGAACCUCUGAAGAAGUCGAAUCCAACGUCGAAUUCAAAGACAUUCUCAAUUGUGAUUCUACAAAGUAAUCAUUUGUUUCUUCUGAGAGAUUAUCAAAAGGCAAUGGCUCUUCCACAUAAGAAGUCUCGAGUUGGACAUAAAGGACAGACAUCAAAAGAGUAACCGACAAAACCAAGCUUGCUAAAAAAGGGAACAUCCAUUUUCUAUCUCUGAAAAACCUAAACCCUGAAUGUGAACUAACAUGUCUCUUCAAUCUCGCUAAUGGGUCUCUGAUCCAAAUCAGCUUCCUAUACACUUUCUUCAUCCCCCCCAAAAAAAGAUCAAAACUUUCUCUUGAACACCUAACCAGCUAAUCAAAAUCUUAAUCUUUUGUACAAAUAAAGAUAAAUUACCAGAUAGAGAUUGUUGCUGCAGAGUUUUCAGAAUAGAGGCAACUAGAACAAAAAUGACAAAAACCCAAACCAAAAGCUAAUUAAUAGAAGAAGAAAGUUGAUAAGAACACCAACAACCA
This is a long non-coding RNA of Arabidopsis thaliana (thale cress), 621 nucleotides long. RefSeq annotates it as other RNA. Lineage: Eukaryota; Viridiplantae; Streptophyta; Magnoliopsida; Brassicales; Brassicaceae. The transcript has a single exon. The record is from RefSeq.